This 660-nucleotide ribosomal RNA is filed under the name Bacillus subtilis. Its description in RNAcentral is "partial 16S ribosomal RNA". It matches the Rfam family "Bacterial small subunit ribosomal RNA", at positions 79 to 723 of the family's 1533-position model. The record is from RNAcentral. Lineage: Bacteria; Bacillati; Bacillota; Bacilli; Caryophanales; Bacillaceae.
UUGCUCCCUGAUGUUAGCGGCGGACGGGUGAGUAACACGUGGGUAACCUGCCUGUAAGACUGGGAUAACUCCGGGAAACCGGGGCUAAUACYGGAUGCUUGUUUGAACCGCAUGGUUCAAACAUAAAAGGUGGCUUCGGCUACCACUUACAGAUGGACCCGCGGCGCAUUAGCUAGUUGGUGAGGUAAUGGCUCACCAAGGCAACGAUGCGUAGCCGACCUGAGAGGGUGAUCGGCCACACUGGGACUGAGACACGGCCCAGACUCCUACGGGAGGCAGCAGUAGGGAAUCUUCCGCAAUGGACGAAAGUCUGACGGAGCAACGCCGCGUGAGUGAUGAAGGUUUUCGGAUCGUAAAGCUCUGUUGUUAGGGAAGAACAAGUACCGUUCGAAUAGGGCGGUACCUUGACGGUACCUAACCAGAAAGCCACGGCUAACUACGUGCCMGCAGCCGCGGUAAUACGUAGGUGGSAAGCGUUGUCCSGAAUUAUUGGGCGUAAAGGGCUCGCAGGSGGUUUCUUAAKUCUGAUGKGAAAGCCCCCGGSUCAACCGGGGAGGGUCAUUGGAAACUGGGGAACUUGAGUGCMGAASARGAGAGUGGAAUUCCMCGUGUASCGGKGAAAUGSGUAKAGAUGKGGAGGAACACCMGGUGGKGAAKKSG